RNAcentral lists this ribosomal RNA (253 nucleotides) under uncultured bacterium. RNAcentral's name for it is "partial 16S ribosomal RNA". It matches the Rfam family "Bacterial small subunit ribosomal RNA", at positions 524 to 776 of the family's 1533-position model. The record is from RNAcentral.
GACAGAGGGUGCAACCGUUGCUCGGAAUUACUGGGCGUAAAGCGCGUGUAGGUGGAUUGGUGUGUCAGAUGUGAAAGCCCUGGGCUCAACCCAGGAAUUGCACCUGAAACUACCAGUCUUGAGUGGUGGAGAGGGAAGUGGAAUUCCUGGUGUAGAGGUGAAAUUCGUAGAUAUCAGGAGGAACACCAGUGGCGAAGGCGGCUUCCUGGACACCAACUGACGCUGAGACGCGAAAGCGUGGAGAGCAAACAGG